AUUGAACGCUGGCGGCAUGCCUUACACAUGCAAGUCGAACGGUAACAGGUCUUCGGAUGCUGACGAGUGGCGAACGGGUGAGUAAUACAUCGGAACGUGCCUAGUAGUGGGGGAUAACUACUCGAAAGAGUGGCUAAUACCGCAUGAGAUCUACGGAUGAAAGCAGGGGAUCGCAAGACCUUGUGCUAUUAGAGCGGCCGAUGGCAGAUUAGGUAGUUGGUGGGAUAAAAGCUUACCAAGCCGACGAUCUGUAGCUGGUCUGAGAGGACGAUCAGCCACACUGGGACUGAGACACGGCCCAGACUCCUACGGGAGGCAGCAGUGGGGAAUUUUGGACAAUGGGCGCAAGCCUGAUCCAGCAAUGCCGCGUGCAGGAUGAAGGCCUUCGGGUUGUAAACUGCUUUUGUACGGAACGAAAAGCCCCGGGUUAAUACCCUGGGGUCAUUACGGUACCGUAAGAAUAAGCACCGGCUAACUACGUGCCAGCCGCCGCCGUAA
This 498-nucleotide ribosomal RNA is filed under the name uncultured bacterium. RNAcentral's name for it is "partial 16S ribosomal RNA". It matches the Rfam family "Bacterial small subunit ribosomal RNA", at positions 30 to 523 of the family's 1533-position model. The record is from RNAcentral.